CGGCCCAAACUCCUACGGGAGGCUGCAGUAGGGAAUCUUCCACAAUGGGCGAAAGCCUGAUGGAGCAACGCCGCGUGUGUGAUGAAGGCUUUCGGGUCGUAAAGCACUGUUGUAUGGGAAGAAAAGUUAAGGUAGGGAAUGACCUUAGCCUGACGGUACCAUACCAGAAAGGGACGGCUAAAUACGUGCCAGCAGCCGCGGUAAUACGUAUGUCCCGAGCGUUAUCCGGAUUUAUUGGGCGUAAAGCGAGCGCAGACGGUUGGUUAAGUCUGAUGUGAAAGCCCGGAGCUCAACUCCGGAAAGGCAUUGGAAACUGGUUAACUUGAGUGCAGUAGAGGUAAGUGGAACUCCAUGUGUAGCGGUGGAAUGCGUAGAUAUAUGGAAGAACACCAGCGGCGAAGGCGGCUUACUGGACUGUAACUGACGUUGAGGCUCGAAAGUGUGGGUAGCAAACAGGAUUAGAUACCCUGGUAGUCCACACCGUAAACGAUGAACACUAGGUGUUAGGAGGUUUCCGCCUCUUAGUGCCGAAGCUAACGCAUUAAGUGUUCCGCCUGGGGAGUACGACCGCAAGGUUGAAACUCAAAGGAAUUGACGGGGACCCGCACAAGCGGUGGAGCAUGUGGUUUAAUUCGAAGCAACGCGAAGAACCUUACCAGGUCUUGACAUCCUUUGAAGCUUUUAGAAAUAGAAGUGUUCUCUUCGGAGACAAAGUGACAGGUGGUGCAUGGUCGUCGUCAGCUCGUGUCGUGAGAUGUUGGGUUAAGUCCCGCAACGAGCGCAACCCUUAUUGUUAGUUGCCAGCAUUCAGAUGGGCACUCUAGCGAGACUGCCGGUGACAAACCGGAGGAAGGCGGGGACGACGUCAGAUCAUCAUGCCCCUUAUGACCUGGGCUACACACGUGCUACAAUGGCGUAUACAACGAGUUGCCAACCUGCGAAGGUGAGCUAAUCUCUUAAAGUACGUCUCAGUUCGGACUGCAGUCUGCAACUCGACUGCACGAAGUCGGAAUCGCUAGUAAUCGCGGAUCAGCACGCCGCGGUGAAUACGUUCCCGGGUCUUGUACACACCGCCCGUCACACCAUGGAAGUUUGUAAUGCCCAAAGCCGGUGGCCUAACCGUAAGGAGGAACCGU
RNAcentral lists this ribosomal RNA (1136 nucleotides) under Leuconostoc carnosum. RNAcentral's name for it is "bacterial SSU rRNA". It matches the Rfam family "Bacterial small subunit ribosomal RNA", at positions 327 to 1456 of the family's 1533-position model. The record is from RNAcentral. Lineage: Bacteria; Bacillati; Bacillota; Bacilli; Lactobacillales; Lactobacillaceae.